This 371-nucleotide ribosomal RNA is filed under the name uncultured organism. RNAcentral describes it as "bacterial SSU rRNA". It matches the Rfam family "Bacterial small subunit ribosomal RNA", at positions 526 to 896 of the family's 1533-position model. The record is from RNAcentral.
CGUAGGGUGCAGGCGUUAAUCGGAAUUACUGGGCGUAAAGCGUGCGCAGGCGGCUCCUUAAGUCAGAUGUGAAAGCCCCGGGCUUAACCUGGGAACUGCGUUUGAAACUGGGGAGCUAGAGUGUGGAAGAGGGGGGUGGAAUUCCAGGUGUAGCAGUGAAAUGCGUAGAGAUCUGGAGGAACACCGAUGGCGAAGGCAGCCCCCUGGGCUAACACUGACGCUCAUGCACGAAAGCGUGGGGAGCAAAACAGGAUUAGAUACCCUGGUAGUCCACGCCCUAAACGAUGUCAACUGGUUGCCGGGGAAGUAAUUCCUUGGUAACGAAGCUAACGCGUGAAGUUGACCGCCUGGGGAGUACGGCCGCAAGGCUU